GUGGGGAAUAUUGGGCAAUGGGCGCAAGCCUGACCCAGCAACGCCGCGUGAAGGAAGAAGGCUUUCGGGUUGUAAACUUCUUUUACCAGGGACGAAAAAAAUGACGGUACCUGGAGAAUAAGCCACGGCUAACUACGUGCCAGCAGCCGCGGUAAUACGUAGGUGGCAAGCGUUGUCCGGAUUUACUGGGUGUAAAGGGCGCGUAGGCGGGAGAGCAAGUCAGGAGUGAAAUCUAUGGGCUUAACCCAUAAAUUGCUUUUGAAACUGUUUUUCUUGAGUGAUGGAGAGGCAAGCGGAAUUCCUAGUGUUGCGGUGAAAUGCGUAGAUAUUAGGAGGAACACCAGUGGCGAAGGCGGCUUGCUGGACAUUAACUGACGCUGAUGCGCGAAAGCGUGGGGAGCAAACAGGAUUAGAUACCCGAGUAGUCC
This 428-nucleotide ribosomal RNA is filed under the name uncultured bacterium. Its description in RNAcentral is "partial 16S ribosomal RNA". It matches the Rfam family "Bacterial small subunit ribosomal RNA", at positions 354 to 796 of the family's 1533-position model. The record is from RNAcentral.